Molecule: ribosomal RNA, 2248 nt
Filed under: Bifidobacterium pseudocatenulatum
Lineage: Bacteria; Bacillati; Actinomycetota; Actinomycetes; Bifidobacteriales; Bifidobacteriaceae
Description: partial 23S ribosomal RNA
Rfam family: Bacterial large subunit ribosomal RNA
Source: RNAcentral
GUUGAUAAGGUUAAGUGAAUAAGGGCGCACGGUGGAUGCCUUGGCACUAGGAGCCGAUGAAGGACGGGACUAACACCGAUAUGCUUUGGGGAGCUGUACGUAAGCUAUGAUCCAGAGAUUUCCGAAUGGGGAAACCCAACAUCUUUUAUAGGAUGUUACGUUUGCGUGAAUACAUAGCGCAUUCGAGGUAGACGCAGAGAACUGAAACAUCUAAGUACCUGCAGGAAGAGAAAGAAAAUUCGAUUCCCUGAGUAGCGGCGAGCGAAACGGGAAAAGCCCAAACCAAUGAGCUUGCUCAUUGGGGUUGUAGGACUCCAAUAUGGUAGUUCUUUCAGAUAAUCGAAUGACUUGGAAAAGUCAGUCAAAGAGGGUAAAAACCCCGUAGAUGAAAUUUGGAAGGCACCUAGGAGGAUCCUGAGUACGGCGGAACACGAGGAAUUCCGUCGGAAUCCGGGAGGACCAUCUCCCAAGGCUAAAUACUCCCUAGUGACCGAUAGUGAACCAGUACCGUGAGGGAAAGGUGAAAAGCACCCCGGAAGGGGAGUGAAAUAGAACCUGAAACCGUGUGCCUACAACAAGUCAAAGCCCGUUAAUGGGUGAUGGCGUGCCUUUUGUAGAAUGAACCGGCGAGUUACGAUUGCAUGCGAGGUUAAGUCGAAGAGACGGAGCCGCAGCGAAAGCGAGUCUGAAUAGGGCGUUUGAGUAUGUAGUCGUAGACCCGAAACCAUGUGAUCUACCCAUGUCCAGGUUGAAGGUGCGGUAAAACGCACUGGAGGACCGAACCCACGUACGUUGAAAAGUGCGGGGAUGAGGUGUGGGUAGCGGAGAAAUUCCAAACGAACUUGGAGAUAGCUGGUUCUCUCCGAAAUAGCUUUAGGGCUAGCCUCGGAUUUGAGAAUGAUGGAGGUAGAGCACUGUUUGGACUAGGGGCCCAUCUCGGGUUACCGAAUUCAGAUAAACUCCGAAUGCCAUUCAUUCAUAUCCGGGAGUCAGACUGUGAGUGAUAAGAUCCAUAGUCGAAAGGGAAACAGCCCAGACCACCAGCUAAGGUCCCAAAAUAUAUGUUAAGUGGAAAAGGAUGUGGGGUUGCACAGACAACUAGGAUGUUGGCUCAGAAGCAGCCACCAUUUAAAGAGUGCGUAAUAGCUCACUAGUCGAGUGACCCUGCGCCGAAAAUGUACCGGGGCUAAACAUAUUACCGAAGCUGUGGAGUACACCAUUAGGUGUAUUGGUAGGAGAGCGUUCUAAGGGCGUUGAAGGCAGAUCGUGAGGACUGCUGGAGCGCUUAGAAGUGAGAAUGCCGGUAUGAGUAGCGAAAGACAGGUGAGAAUCCUGUCCACCGAAUGACUAAGGUUUCCUGGGGAAGGCUCGUCCGCCCAGGGUUAGUCGGGACCUAAGCCGAGGCCGACAGGCGUAGGCGAUGGACAACAGGUUGAUAUUCCUGUACUCGUUGUUUUUGUUUGAGCAAUGGAGGGACGCAGGAGGCUAAGGAAUGCAGACGAUUGGAAAUGUCUGUCCAAGCAGUAAGUCUUGAUAGGAGUCAAAUGCUUCUGUCUACACGGAUAAGCUGUGAUGGGGAGGGAAAUAAUAGUACCGAAGUUCCUGAUGUCACACUGCCAAGAAAAGCUUCUAGUGAGAAAACAAUGACCCGUACCGCAAACCGACACAGGUAGUCGAGGAGAGAAUCCUAAGGUGAGCGAGAGAACUCUCGUUAAGGAACUCGGCAAAAUGACCCCGUAACUUCGGGAGAAGGGGUGCUGAUCUUUGAUCAGCCGCAGUGAAUAGGCCCAAGCGACUGUUUAUCAAAAACACAGGUCUCUGCAAAAUCGUAAGAUGAAGUAUAGGGGCUGACGCCUGCCCGGUGCUGGAAGGUUAAGAGGAGUGCUUAGCGUAAGCGAAGGUACGAAUUGAAGCCCCAGUAAACGGCGGCCGUAACUAUAACGGUCCUAAGGUAGCGAAAUUCCUUGUCGGGUAAGUUCCGACCCGCACGAAAGGCGUAACGAUUUGGGCACUGUCUCAACGAGAGACUCGGUGAAAUUUUAGUACCUGUGAAGAUGCAGGUUACCCGCGACAGGACGGAAAGACCCCAUGGAGCUUUACUGUAGUUUGAUAUUGAGUGUCUGUACCGCAUGUACAGGAUAGGUAGGAGCCGUAGAAAUCGGAACGCUAGUUUCGAUGGAGGCGCUGGUGGGAUACUACCCCUGCGUUAUGGCCACUCUAACCCGCACCACUGAUCGUGGUGGGAGAC